This is a long non-coding RNA of Ochotona princeps (American pika), 1153 nucleotides long. RefSeq lists it as uncharacterized. The record is from RefSeq and is a predicted model, not a curated record. The transcript has 2 exons. Lineage: Eukaryota; Metazoa; Chordata; Mammalia; Lagomorpha; Ochotonidae.
CUGCACUGCACAGGAGAGACUGAAGUGCAGACAUCAACUGACAUUGAUUUUUCUUGAACUGGGCUGAGCAACAAACUCAAAGGAAAAGCCUCAGAAAGUGUUCCAGGAACGAACUUUCUGCAGUGUGAUGACCUGUAAGAGCAGCCCGUCCAUUGACAUUUCAAACUCUAAGUCAGCCGUGUCAAAGUUUGAACCAGGACUGUGGAGGAUAAUGGGUCAGAUGCGAUUAGCAGCCUGGAGAGCUGCAUACUGCAGUCUGAUUUAUUUUUUUGCCCAUCAGAUUCCAAGAAAUUUAGUGCUUAAAAGCUACUACACAAUUGCCCUAUUGUACUGAGAGAAAGCCCAGUUAAUUCAAAAAUCAGUUGCACCACCAGGUGGGGCACAUUGUGGCCCCAAACAGAAGAGGUCGGAAACUCCCCCAAAAUGCAGUCCUGCUAAAUUAAAAACUCGAUCCAGGGUGGAACAAAUAAGGAGCUGUGAAUGGGCCCGAGUCCACCCAGGCGAUUUCUUUCUUCUCCCACUCCUCUCCUGCCUUUACAAGAGAAAAAUGCACCAUUCCACUUUCAUCAGAGUUAGCAUUUAUGCAGCAACGCAGCCAUCCACCGUCUGCAGUAAAUGUGUUACUUUAAUUAGUCUGAAAAUUAAAGGGCAACUCUGGGCCAAUGUGAAUGAUUAUGAAAAUACGUGUGCAUCCCAUGCAAUCGUCUCAUUUAAUUAAUAGUCUUGUAAACUGUACCGCUCACUUUAAGUCAGUCGAGAAGUAUAACAACUCCAUUUUAAAUAUCCACUUAAUACUUAACAGCCUGUGAGGAACACACCAUAGUGUAGGGUCGCUUCUCGGGUUUCACUGUCUGAAAUUUUUCAAAGCUGACCCAAGUCAACCCGAAACAUGUUUAACACCCUGGGCUUGAACACAAGCAACUCUGUGAUGAACAGACAUUCAAUUACAUUUUUAAAAAGUGAGCAGCAUUUUUGAAAAAUAGUGACUCCGGAAAGUAAUUGGCAGCCGCAGAACUUGUGAACGAAAGCCAAAUCUUGUGGGGGAACUUUUACUACAUUAGCACAACUCAAAGAAAAUUGUGAAUAAGGGGCAUCUUUGUUUCCCAGUCAAAUUAGCUGAUUAAGAAAUGAAACGUCUUAACGUGUUUUUAAA